RNAcentral lists this unclassified non-coding RNA (339 nucleotides) under soil metagenome. RNAcentral describes it as "partial contains 5.8S ribosomal RNA, internal transcribed spacer 2, and large subunit ribosomal RNA". The stretch from base 1 to 121 matches the Rfam family "5.8S ribosomal RNA", at positions 35 to 154 of the family's 154-position model. The record is from RNAcentral.
GAUGAAGAACGUAGCGAAAUGCGAUAAGUAAUGCGAAUUGCAGAAUUUCCGUGAGUCAUCGAAUCUUUGAACGCACAUUGCGCCCUUUGGUAUUCCUUAGGGCAUGCCUGUUCGAGCGUCAUUUGAAACCUCAAGCUCAGCUUGGUGUUGGGUGUCUGUCCCCGCCUCACCGCGGGGACUCGCCUCAAAAUCAUUGGCGGCCGGUACGUUGGCUUCGAGCGCAGCAGAAACGCGAACUCGAGGCCCGGCGGAUCGGCGACCAGAAGUCACUUCUUCACAGUUUGACCUCGGAUCAGGUAGGGAUACCCGCUGAACUUAAGCAUAUCAAUAAGCGGAGGA